GACGAACGCUGGCGGCGUGCUUAACACAUGCAAGUCGAACGAUGAAGCCUAGCUUGCUAGGUGGAUCAGUGGCGAACGGGUGAGUAAUACGUGAGUAACCUACCUUUAACUCUGGGAUAAGCCUGGGAAACUGGGUCUAAUACCGGAUACGACCAAUCUCCGCAUGGGGUGUUGGUGGAAAGCGUUAUGUCGUGGUUAUAGAUGGGCUCACGGCCUAUCAGCUUGUUGGUGAGGUAACGGCUCACCAAGGCGACGACGGGUAGCCGGCCUGAGAGGGUGACCGGCCACACUGGGACUGAGACACGGCCCAGACUCCUACGGGAGGCAGCAGUGGGGAAUAUUGCACAAUGGGCGCAAGCCUGAUGCAGCGACGCCGCGUGAGGGAUGACGGCCUUCGGGUUGUAAACCUCUGUUAGCAGGGAAGAAGAGAAAUUGACGGUACCUGCAGAGAAAGCGCCGGCUAACUACGUG
Molecule: ribosomal RNA, 471 nt
Filed under: uncultured bacterium
Lineage: Bacteria
Description: partial 16S ribosomal RNA
Rfam family: Bacterial small subunit ribosomal RNA
Source: RNAcentral